ACUCCUACGGGAGGCAGCAGUGGGGAAUAUUGGACAAUGGGCGAAAGCCUAAUCCAGCCAUGCCGCGUGUGUGAAGAAGGUCUUCGGAUUGUAAAGCACUUUAAGUUGGGAGGAAGGGCAGUAAGUUAAUACCUUGCUGUUUUGACGUUACCGACAGAAUAAGCACCGGCUAACUCUGUGCCAGCAGCCGCGGUAAU
RNAcentral lists this ribosomal RNA (197 nucleotides) under uncultured Pseudomonas sp. RNAcentral describes it as "partial 16S ribosomal RNA". It matches the Rfam family "Bacterial small subunit ribosomal RNA", at positions 335 to 524 of the family's 1533-position model. The record is from RNAcentral. Lineage: Bacteria; Pseudomonadati; Pseudomonadota; Gammaproteobacteria; Pseudomonadales; Pseudomonadaceae.